UACGGAGGGUGCAAGCGUUGUCCGGAUUUAUUGGGUUUAAAGGGUGCGUAGGCGGCCCAUUAAGUCAGCGGUGAAAGCCCGGGGCUCAACCCCGGAACUGCCGUUGAUACUGGCGGGCUUGAGUUCGGUGAAGGCGGGCGGAACUGGCGGUGUAGCGGUGAAAUGCUUAGAUACCGCCAAGAACCCCGAUUGCGUAGGCAGCUCGCUGUGCCGAAACUGACGCUGAGGCACGAAAGCGUGGGGAGCGAACAGG
This 253-nucleotide ribosomal RNA is filed under the name uncultured bacterium. RNAcentral's name for it is "partial 16S ribosomal RNA". It matches the Rfam family "Bacterial small subunit ribosomal RNA", at positions 524 to 776 of the family's 1533-position model. The record is from RNAcentral.